GAACGAACGCUGGCAGCGUGGAUUAGGCAUGCAAGUCGAACGAGAUUCCCGUGUGUAGCAAUACAUAUGGGAUGACAGUGGCGAAAGGGCGAGUAACACGUGGGCAAUCUGCCUCAAAGAUGGGGAUAACCCGCCGAAAGGUGGUCUAAUACCCGAUGGGGUCCCUCAACGCAUGUUGAGGUGAUUAAAGGUGGGGACCGCAAGGCCUGCCACUUUGAGAGGAGCCCGCGUCCCAUCAGCUAGUUGGUGAGGUAACGGCCCACCAAGGCUUACGGGUAGCUGGUCUGAGAGGAUGGUCAGCCGCACUGGGACUGAGAUACUGCCCAGACUCCUACGGGAGGCUGCAGUCGAGGAUCUUUUGCAAUGGGCGCAAGCCUGACAAAGCGACGCUGCGUGGAGGAUGAAGGCCUUCGGGUUGUAAACUCCUGUCAUUCGGGAACAAUUGCCGGUUAGUUAAAAGCUGAUCGGCUUGAUGGUACCGGAAGAGGAAGCCACGGCUAACUCUGUGCCAGCAGCCGCGGUAAUACAGAGGUGGCGAGCGUUGUUCGGAUUUACUGGGCGUAAAGGGUGCGUAGGUGGCUCUGUGUGUCGGACGUGAAAUCCCACCGCCUAACGGUGGAACUGCGUUCGAAACUGCAGGGCUUGAGUGCAGGAGGGGAGAGCGGAAUACUNNNNNGUAGCGGUGAAAUGCGUUGAUAUCAAGUAGAACACCGGUGGCGUAGGCGGCUCUCUNGAAUGCAACUGACACUGAGGCACGAAAGUCGGGGGAGCAAACAGGAUUAGAUACCCUGGGUAGUCUCGACUGUAAACGGUGUACACUUGGUGUGGGCGGUAUUGACCCCGCCCGUGCCGGAGCUAACGCGUUAAGUGUACCGCCUGGGGAGUACGGCCGCAAGGUUAAAACUCAAAGAAAUUGACGGGGGCCCGCACAAGCGGAGGAGCAUGUGGCUUAAUUCGAUGCAACGCGAAGAACCUUACCAGGGUUUGACAUGCAGCUGCAAGCUUUCCGAAAGGAAAGCCGCCUUCGAGGGUGCUGCACAGGUGCUGCAUGGCUGUCGUCAGUUCGUGCCGUGAGGUGUUGGGUUAAGUCCCGCAACGAACGCAACCCCUAUGUCUAGUUGCCACCGCGCAAGCGAGCACUCUAGACAGACUGCCCAUUUUAAGUGGGAGGAAGGUGGGGAUGACGUCAAGUCAGUAUGGCCUUUAUACCCUGGGCUGCACACGUGCUACAAUGGUCGGUACAGAAGGACGCGAGACCGCGAGGUGGAGCAAAUCCAGAAAAACCGACCCCAGUUCAGAUUGAAGGUUGCAACUCGCCUUCAUGAAGCCGGAUUCGCUAGUAAUGGCGUAUCAGCUACGACGCCGUGAAUACGUUCCCGGGCC
RNAcentral lists this ribosomal RNA (1383 nucleotides) under uncultured soil bacterium. RNAcentral's name for it is "bacterial SSU rRNA". It matches the Rfam family "Bacterial small subunit ribosomal RNA", at positions 27 to 1380 of the family's 1533-position model. The record is from RNAcentral.